AGUGAACGCUGGCGGUAGGCCUAACACAUGCAAGUCGAACGGCAGCACAGCAAGAGCUUGCUCUUACGGGUGGCGAGUGGCGGACGGGUGAGGAAUACAUCGGAAUCUACUUUUUCGUGGGGGAUAACGUAGGGAAACUUACGCUAAUACCGCAUACGACCUACGGGUGAAAGCAGGGGAUCUUCGGACCUUGCGCGAUUGAAUGAGCCGAUGUCGGAUUAGCUAGUUGGCGGGGUAAAGGCCCACCAAGGCGACGAUCCGUAGCUGGUCUGAGAGGAUGAUCAGCCACACUGGAACUGAGACACGGUCCAGACUCCUACGGGAGGCAGCAGUGGGGAAUAUUGGACAGUGGGCGCAAGCCUGAUCCAGCCAUACCGCGUGGGUGAAGAAGGCCUUCGGGUUGUAAAGCCCUUUUGUUGGGAAAGAAAAGCAGCAGGUUAAUACCCCGCUGUUCUGACGGUACCCAAAGAAUAAGCACCGGCUAACUUCGU
Molecule: ribosomal RNA, 491 nt
Filed under: uncultured bacterium
Lineage: Bacteria
Description: partial 16S ribosomal RNA
Rfam family: Bacterial small subunit ribosomal RNA
Source: RNAcentral